GUAUGAUUAAAAAUGGAAUGGUUACGCUCAAUUUAGGUACAAUUUUUAGAUGGACGCGACUAGCCAGCACCCGUUGGCUGGCUAGUGUUCCAGGGCACACACCCCAAAUUAGGUAGUAGGCCUUUCCCCGUAUCCAACAGGCAAACCAAAAAGGAAACAAACAGUCCCCCGCACACAUGGCCCCCAGGGGAGAAUCUGACAUGAUCGUAAUUUUUGCUCCGUGUAAGGCACAUGCCGAUGCACCAGACACCCGUCUCGCCUCCUUACCCCAGUCGUAGCCCCCCAAACAUGCCCUUCUCCGUUUGUCCUCUCCUCCAUUGCCACAACUGAUGCCCCCAAUUUUGGUGGUCAUUGAUCUAAGAUUCAGGUGUUCCUGAAUUCCCCAACCCACAACCUCCUCUUGCCCUCUUUCAACGAAUCCAACACCUGAAAAAGCGAGUUUCCAUCUUGAUGUGCCUUCUAAUACGCCUCCUCUUUUACAAAACUCUUGUUCAUCCUGAUUGCAACUGUUUUUU
Molecule: ribosomal RNA, 515 nt
Filed under: Triticum aestivum (bread wheat)
Lineage: Eukaryota; Viridiplantae; Streptophyta; Magnoliopsida; Poales; Poaceae
Description: partial small subunit ribosomal RNA
Source: RNAcentral